CGGCAAUGGAGGAAACUCUGAUCGAGCAACGCCGCGUGAACGAUGAAGUAUUUCGGUACGUAAAGUUCUUUUAUUAGGGAAGAAUAAAUGAUGGAAAAAUCAUUCUGACGGUACCUAAUGAAUAAGCCCCGGCUAACUAUGUGCCAGCAGCCGCGAUAAUACAUAGGGGGCAAGCGUUAUCCGGAAUUAUUGGGCGUAAAGGGUGCGUAGGCGGUUAAAUAAGUUUAUGGUCUAAGUGCAAUGCUCAACAUUGUGAUGCUAUAAAAACUGUUUAGCUAGAGUAAGAUAGAGGCAAGUGGAAUUCCAUGUGUAGUGGUAAAAUGCGUAAAUAUAUGGAGGAACACCAGUAGCGAAGGCGGCUUGCUGGGUCUUUACUGACGCUGAGGCACGAAAGCGUGGGGAGCAAACAGGAUUAGAUACCCUGGUAGUCCACGCCGUAAACGAUGAGUACUAAACGUUGGGUAAAACCAGUGUUGAAGUUAACACAUUAAGUACUCCGCCUGAGUAGUACGUACGCAAGUAUGAAACUUAAAGGAAUUGACGGGACUCCGCACAAGCGGUGGAUCAUGUUGUUUAAUUCGAAGGUACCCGAAAAACCUCACCAGGUCUUGACAUGCUUCUGCAAAGCUGUAGAAACACAGUGGAGGUUAUCAGUUGCACAGGUGGUGCAUGGUUGUCGUCAGCUCGUGUCGUGAGAUGUUGGGUUAAGUCCCGCAACGAGCGCAACCCUUAUUGUUAGUUACCAGCACGUAAUGGUGGGGACUUUAGCAAGACUGCCAGUGAUAAAUUGGAGGAAGGUGGGGACGACGUCAAAUCAUCAUGCCCCUUAUGACCUGGGCUACAAACGUGAUACAAUGGCUGUUACAAAGGGUAGCUGAA
Molecule: ribosomal RNA, 879 nt
Filed under: Peruvian (Andahuaylas) potato phytoplasma
Lineage: Bacteria; Bacillati; Mycoplasmatota; Mollicutes; Acholeplasmatales; Acholeplasmataceae
Description: bacterial SSU rRNA
Rfam family: Bacterial small subunit ribosomal RNA
Source: RNAcentral